Molecule: long non-coding RNA, 1690 nt
Organism: Alosa sapidissima (American shad)
Lineage: Eukaryota; Metazoa; Chordata; Actinopteri; Clupeiformes; Clupeidae
Exons: 4
Source: RefSeq, a predicted model, not a curated record
UGAUGAGAGUCAUCUGUGGAGCAGCGCAUCGCCCUCACAUACUCUUCUCACAAUUUAUAGUACAGAAAUGUCACUGUCAAUUACUGUUAGUUAUUUAUUUGUGAACAACAUUUCUUUGAAACAUUUGCGGUAAUCCUCAAAGAAGCAAACAGCAGAGUGAAGAUGAUGGUGAGCUGGUAGACAGCGUGGCCCAGGAUGUUCUUCAUCAUGGUGCGGGAGAUCAGAGGCUUGUUGCGGCCGUACGGCUUCCUCAGCAGCAGGGCUUCCGUGGGCGGCUCAGUGGCCAGAGCCAGAGAGGCAAACGUGUCCAUGAUGAGGUUGACCCACAGCAUCUGGACGGCCUUCAGUGGGGAAUCCUACAGGAGGAGAGAGACUGCAGUGAGUAGGCCAGUGAGAUGGUGACGGCUAGUGGGAGUCCUUCAGGCACGGCCACCACCAGCACAGUGACGCCGAUGAUGAAGAACUUGACCACAAACUGAAUAUAGAUGGGAGUGCAGUCUUUGAUCCACGGCAGGCCCUGGACCCAGAAGGUUGGCUUUCUUUUUCUCCUCGGCUUCUGCUCCAUCGUCACUGUUGAGGGGCUGCAUCUCAACACCAUCCUUACCUGUGGAGGAACACCAUCCUUAAAUAUGGAGAAGUGCACAUGCAUCUCAACACCAUCCUAACCUAUAGAGUGCACAUGCAUCUCAACACCAUCCUUACCUAUAGAGAAGUGCACAUGCAUCUCAACACCAUCCUUACCUAUAGAGAAGUGCACAUGCAACACCAUCCUAACCUAUAGAGGAGUGCACAUGCAACACCAUCCUAACCUAUAGAGGAGUGCACAUGCAACACCAUCCUAACCUAUAGAGGAGUGCACAUGCAACACCAUCCUAACCUAUAGAGGAGUGCACAUGCAUCUCAACACCAUCCUUACCUAUAGAGAAGUGCACAUGCAACACCAUCCUAACCUAUAGAGAAGUGCACAUGCAACACCAUCCUAACCUAUAGAGUGCACAUGCAUCUCAACACCAUCCUUACCUAUAGAGAAGUGCACAUGCAACACAACACCACUCUUACCUAUAGAGAAGUGCACAUGCAACACAACACCACUCUUACCUAUAGAGUGCACAUGCAACACUUUGACCUCUGGUUUCACUCUUCCUCUCACAUCAGGUACUUUCACAUGAUUGUCCCUUCCGGGUUGUAUUCCAUUAUGUAUAUAAUGCUUUGAAAUGAUUAUAUUUACAAUGCAGUGGACUGCUGGUGGGUGGAGUAAGGUCUGCUGGAGAUGAUAUCAGUAGUGGACUGCAGGAGAUGAUAUUAGUAGUGGACUGCUGGAGAUUAUAUCAGUAGUGGUUUGCUGGAGAUGAUAUCCGUAGUGGUCUGCUGGUGGGUGGAGUAAGGUCUGCUGGUGAUGAUAUCAGUAGUGGUCUGCUGGUGAUGAUAUCAGUAGUGGUCUGCUGGUGGGUGGAGUAAGGUCUGCUGGAGAUGAUAUCAGUAGUGGUCUGCUGGAAAUGAUAUCAGUAGUGGUCUGUAAUCCUGGUUGGAGGAUUAUCUCUCACGGCAGACUCAUUGCAAGGCAAAAACAAGCGCCAGCAUAAAUGAAUAAGCCACAAUCAUAAGACACACCUGCACUAUUGUUAGAGCUGCAGGCCCCGUACGUAUUGUUUGGGUAUAUGUACGUGUGUGUGUGUGUGUGUGUUUGUGU